AUGAUUGGCUUCAUUGAAAACAACGUGUCAAAAUUGAGCCUUCUUUUGAAUGACAUUUCAAGGAAGAGCGAGGGCCUCAGCGGCCGGGUCCUGAGAAAACUCCCCUUUCUGGCUCAUGCGCCGUAUGUCCAGGUGAGUCUUCACUGCUGUCCUCCAGCACCCGCCCUGUCCGCAGGUCUCAGCCUCGCUGGAGAUUCCGCUUAGUAGCCCUGGGGUAUCAGCCUCAUUUUAUCUCAGUUUCUAAACCACAGGGUCCUGGGGCCGGAGGAGGAGCUGACCUUGGCACCGAAACACAGGGGCUGUCUUGAGUCCUUUGGGAGGAGGCGGCUGUGCCACAUGCCUCUGCUCACACGCAUGCAUGCACACACAUGCACGUCUGCCUCUGUGGUGUGCUGAGCUCGUGGCCAGGGCCCUCGCUGGCCUCACCAGAGGUUUGUGCUCUUUCAGUCUGGGUUCAGCUCACAUAGAACAGUGACUUGGAUCCACAGCCUCACCCACUGGGUGCUGGGCCUGUUGCAGACGCUUCGGCCCGGGGCACUCACCCCUCCCCUGCACUGUCCCCAGCAGCCGGUUGGGGUAAGGACUCAGUGUCUGGCAGAGCAGGUACACUUACAUCUGAGAAGAGAAAACCCCCAUCUUGGAAUGUUUCCUUUCAAAUCAGAAGUGACUCAGGCUCUGUCUGAUCAGUAGCAGCCUCUGUGCUGGACACAGUGCUCAGCACAGAGGUGACAGUGGCCAUGGAUCAUGAGUGGGAGCCUUUUGAUGCAGGGGAGGUGACAGCUCUGGGCACUGGGCCAUGGGAAUUCUCUGGUUAUAAGCCUGGGACAUAGGGUGGGCCCUCCAGGGUCUGCUCCCUACAGCUUCUCAUCCUUCUCAGUGUGUGGGUGGCUGCCUUGGUGCUCCCCUGCCCACCCCCGCAGCUGUUUCUGACAUGCAGGACAUGGCGGGGGGGGGGUCACGUAGCCACCUUGUUCGCCUUUUCUGAAGUAAAGAGCUUGGCUGAUGUGCGUCCUGGACGUGUGUGGUGCGCACUCACUGCUCACCUCAUCAGCUACCACCCCCUUCUGUGCUAUCUGCACUGUGGGUGGCGGCAGGGGCUGUGGAUGCCAGAUGGCCCCACCAAACGUGAGUUGAGCCCCUCCAGCAAUGACCGUGUACCUUCUAGGCCCCCACCGUCACCAUAGAGGGGUUCCUCCAGGCCCUAUCUCUGGCAGUGGACAAGCAGUUUGAAGAGAGAAAGAAGCUUGCGGCUUACAUCUGAUCCUGGGCUUCCCCAUCUGGUGCUUUUCCCAUGGAGAACACACAACCAGUAAGUGAGGUGGCCCCACACAGCCGUCUCCCAGGGAAUCCCUUCUGCAAACCAAACGUUACUUAGACUGCAAGCUAGAAAGCCACCAAGGCCAGGCUUUGUUAAAAGAAGUGUAUUCUAUUUAUGUUGUCUUCCUUAUGUCACUCUUACCUAGAGCUGGAGUGCAGUGGUGCGAUCGCAGCUCACUGCAACCUCCGCCUCCUGGGUUCAAGCGAUUCUCGUGCCUCAGCUUCGUGAGUAGCUGGGAUUACAGGUGCCUGCCACCACACUUGGCUAAUUUUUGUAUUUUUUAGUAGAGGCAUGGUUUCACCAUGUUGGCAAGGCUGGUCUCGAACUUCUGGCCUCAAGUGAUCCAUCCACCUCUGCCUCCCAAAGAGCUGGGACUUAGGCAUGAGCCAUCAUGCCCAGCCUUCUUUUCAAUUUUAAAAUAAAUCCUGCAGUUUACAUUUCCACACACUGAUUCCACAGCCUAUUAAUGGGUUCAGCACUGCAAUGUAAAAAUUCUGCUUUGCUCAAUUCUUGUCAUUCAGCCAAAUCCUCAAAGAGAACUCGUAGGUCUCACUCCACUAGACAGAAUAUAAUAAUAAGUAAAAACUGAAACUUGGCCGGGCAUGGUGGCUCAUGCUUCUAAUUCCAACACUUUGGGAGGCUGAGGAGGGUGGAUCACCUGAGGUCAGGAGUUCGAGACCAGCCUGACCAACAUGGCGAAACCCUGUCUCUACUAAAAAUACAAAAAUUAGCCACGCAUGAUGGCACGUGCCUAUAAUCCCAGCUACUCAGGAGGCUGAGGCAGGAGAAUCACUUGAACCCGGAAGGCGGAGGUUGCAGUGAGCUGAGAUCACACCACUACACUCCAGCCUGGGUNA
Molecule: long non-coding RNA, 2175 nt
Organism: Pan paniscus (pygmy chimpanzee)
Lineage: Eukaryota; Metazoa; Chordata; Mammalia; Primates; Hominidae
Source: Ensembl